This 1091-nucleotide long non-coding RNA is filed under the name Chloebia gouldiae (Gouldian finch). RNAcentral describes it as "Erythrura gouldiae (Gouldian finch) lncRNA (ENSEGOG00005003216.1)". The record is from RNAcentral. Lineage: Eukaryota; Metazoa; Chordata; Aves; Passeriformes; Passeridae.
AAGGCAACAAUAAGUAAUCUCCUGCAAAGGGAAGGCUGUGAAAGCAUCUUUUGAGCUGGUUAAAAAUGGGCAAUUAUCAAUUUCAUUUUGACAUGAAUGAGAAGGAGGAAUGUUCUGUACAUGCUUUAAUCUUCUAACAUAUAUUUUAUAAUAAAAAAAUCAAAACACCUUAAGAUAUAUUUGGUGAAUAUUUAACUAAGUCUGUACUAGCACAAACAAGUUUUCACCACUGAAAGAAUUAUGCCUCAUGUCUUUGCUUUAUCCUUUAGUUUUUACAGAAUGCUAAUGGUUUUGUUAGCAGACAAUGGUCUAGUAUUUAUUUAGGAAAAAAUAUGUCAGUUGGGAAGAGGCCACACCUGCAUGAAAAUAAUAGAGGAUGCAGCUUUCUCCAGAGUUGGGUCCGAGUGGGUGCUGCAAAAGGCAGUGUCAGUGAAGAAAAGCACCAACUCUUUGCCAGGGGCAGACUUUUUCCUGAGCAGCUCGAUCAGACAAGGAAAAUGGAGUGAGCUGAAGAAGACGAGAGGGACUCCACUGUGGAUUCAGGAGAGCAGCACUGGGUUGGCUCAGCCUUUUGAGGAGUGGAAGCAGCUUUUCAGAAAGCAGCCGAGUCCAGACUUCUGCAGGAGUGCAGGCAGAGGAGGCAGUACUGUGCAAUGUCAACAAUCAAAAUGGAAAUGCAGGCACUGUGAAGACCCGGACACAGCUUCUGUUGCCUGCACCCUAUGUGAAUGUGGUUUGGAAGCAGAAACAAGGCCUAAGUGAGGUUUUGCACGUUAUAUUAGAAUAUCUAAAUCUCUAAUAGAAAAAGAUUUUGGACAAAGAUGGACAAAGAUAACCACUAAGGUCUAGAAGGGCUUAAAGUCCAAUAGACUUUAAAGACUUAAAAAAAACAAUCCCCAAACUAAAAGACUUUAAAAGACCAAAAGACACCAAAUGUCUAGUGUGGGAACAUACAUAAUUUAAUUUAUACAAAUCAUAGGUGUUCAAUUUUUACUUUUAUUCUGCCUCUAUGAAUCUGUAGGUAGGAUUCUGAUGUCCUUUUUGAAAACCUGGACGGUGGUGCAAAAUAAACUCAUAUUCGGCUUUGAACA